This 249-nucleotide ribosomal RNA is filed under the name uncultured bacterium. Its description in RNAcentral is "partial 16S ribosomal RNA". It matches the Rfam family "Bacterial small subunit ribosomal RNA", at positions 524 to 776 of the family's 1533-position model. The record is from RNAcentral.
UACGGGGGGGACCAGUGUUAGUCGUAUUGAUUGGGCGUAAAGGGUGCGUAGGCGGUUUUUUAGAACUUAUAGUAAAUCCCACUACGAUUGUGGUAACUAUUUGUUAUCGUAAAACUGGAGUAAAAAAGAGGUGUGCGGUACUACAAGUUUAGGCCUAAACGUCGACGAGAUUUGAAGGACCCUCAGUGGCGAAGGCGGCUAACCAUUUUUUACUGACGCUGAGGCACGGAGGCGUGGGGAGCAAACGGG